Molecule: ribosomal RNA, 253 nt
Filed under: uncultured bacterium
Lineage: Bacteria
Description: partial 16S ribosomal RNA
Rfam family: Bacterial small subunit ribosomal RNA
Source: RNAcentral
UACGUAGGAGGCAAGCGUUGUCCGGAAUUACUGGGCGUAAAGCGCGUGUAGGUGGUGGGACAAGUCUGCUGUGAAAGCGCCUGGCUUAACCGGGCGAGGUCGGCGGAAACUGUCCGACUCGAGGACGGUAGAGGGGGGUGGAAUUCCCGGUGUAGUGGUGAAAUGCGCAGAUAUCAGGAGGAACACCAGUGGCGAAGGCGGUGCUCUGGGCCGGAACUGACGCUGAGGAGCGAAAGCGUGGGGAGCAAACAGG